RNAcentral lists this long non-coding RNA (1704 nucleotides) under Homo sapiens (human). Its description in RNAcentral is "non-protein coding lnc-ZNF746-3:11". Lineage: Eukaryota; Metazoa; Chordata; Mammalia; Primates; Hominidae. The record is from RNAcentral.
AUGCGAGUUGUCACUCACCUCACACGCCCCAGCAAGCAUCCAGGAGAGCCUGCCUCUUGGAAUAGAAAUCAGACAUCCCACAGGAACUCUGAGGUUUUCCCACUGCUGCCAGAUGUAUGCAAGGAACACGUGAUCUUCGUAAUUCCAGAGCGGGGCAAACUGCUUGGCACCUCUUCAAUAGGUGACAUUCAAUGAUAGAUCUCUGGCUUCCUGCUCUGUUUGUUCUGGUUGCCCUGGAAAGCCUGCUGCUCAGCCCAUGCCCCGGGACUUCCUCCACCCUCACCAGGACAUUCUUUCCAUCUCUUGUCUCCUGUGUGCAAGUCCCUUUCUCCUGGAUUCCAUGUCUUGAAUGUUUCUUAAUUUACUUCCUCAUUUUGGCAGAGGAUGUCCUCCAGUUGUUUUCUGGGAAUGCUAAUAUGCAAGUGAACCAGUGACCUGCAGUUCUGCCCACACAGGGUUAAUAACCAAUCAGAUUCUCUCUUUUCAAGAUGGUUAACAUAACAGACACCAAGAAAGGGAAGAGGAGCCGACAGCAGAGGGGGAAGCUGAAAAGACGCACAAAGAAUGGCCAUAAAAGAUAUGAGCAACCCCAGCUUUCCAGACAGUCACUUUUCCCAGUGGUCAUACCUGGUCUGGAAGAUUCCCCAUCAUCUCGAAUAAAGCUGUUGUUGCUUUUAACUCCAUGGAGAGACCGAAUGGAGUGAGCCCAGCAGGGCAUGCUGGGCAAGAGAGGUCCCCCGAGUCCCAAAUAAGAAUUUCAACUAGUAUAAAACGAGGCAGCGAACCCACACGUGGAAGUCUGAUACCGCUUGCAGAAGGGAAUUGAAUAGAUGUCUCCCUAUUGGUAAGGAUGUGGUUUUAUUGACUUGAAAUAACAAAGCCCGCAAGCAACAACUGAUCAUCCGCGGGAUGCUGCCACAAGGAAUAAUUGAGCACUCAUUCAGACACAGGGGAAACCACUGCCUCUUUCAGUCUUUCUCCCAGAUUCCAACAGUCAGUGUUACAGCAUUUCACCUUGUUCACCUCCCUGAGAAGACGUUGCAGCUCACUCACCCCAGUGGGCACUGGGAGCCUCUGCUCAGGUGGGAGACAGAUGCCCCCCACAUGCACAUCUGGUGUUUAUGAAGCAGAUACUGGGGCUUCAUAAACACAGAAGGGGCAGGGAAGUAGCCCCAGGGCAUAGUGUGGGGCCUCCUGACUAAAAGUAGCUUGCAAACCCCUGCCUAUAACAGCCACUUCCUGGCAGUCAUUGUGCCACUUAGGAGCCCUCCUCACCGCUCUUCCUUUAGUUCCUUCACUCUGUAUAGACCCUGCCAGAGCAGCUCAGGGUGGAGCAGCUGCAGCCAUGGGACCUGCUCCAGGCAAGGCCCUAUGCUACACAGUCCCUGGGGGUGAGGAUUCCAGAGGAGUCAAUUCCCUACCCGCCCUUCCAGGGGAUGGCCGAGAUGAGCGUUCCCACAGGGAAAGUGAAAGUUGCAAGGCUGUUGCGGAAACACCAGGGGUUCCAUCUAGGUCUUGCUGCUCAUCUCACAGAAAGCCAGUCACUGAGACAAGUAUUGUCAGGGAAGAAGGCUUUAUCCAGGUGCUACAGACAGGGUGAACAAGAGAUCAGUCUCAAAUCCAUCAUCAUCAACUGACUAAAAUUAGGGGUUUAUAUAGCAGGGAAGAAAUGUAACUACAUGUGGGAAAACAGGGAUUAACGAG